RNAcentral lists this ribosomal RNA (414 nucleotides) under uncultured bacterium. RNAcentral's name for it is "bacterial SSU rRNA". It matches the Rfam family "Bacterial small subunit ribosomal RNA", at positions 355 to 786 of the family's 1533-position model. The record is from RNAcentral.
UGGGGAAUAUUGCACAAUGGGGGAAACCCUGAUGCAGCGACGCCGCGUGAGUGAAGAAGUAAUUCGUUAUGUAAAGCUCUAUCAGCAGGGAAGAAAAUGACGGUACCUGAGUAAGAAGCCCCGGCUAACUACGUGCCAGCAGCCGCGGUAAUACGUAGGGGGCAAGCGUUAUCCGGAUUUACUGGGUGUAAAGGGGGCGCAGACGGCAAUGCAAGCCAGGAGUGAAAGCCCGGGGCCCAACCCCGGGACUGCUCUUGGAACUGCAUGGCUGGAGUACAGGAGGGGCAGGCGGAAUUCCUAGUGUAGCGGUGAAAUGCGUAGAUAUUAGGAGGAACACCGGUGGCGAAGGCGGCCUGCUGGACUGUGACUGACGUUGAGGCCCGAAGGCGUGGGGAGCAAACAGGAUUAGAUACC